This 497-nucleotide ribosomal RNA is filed under the name uncultured bacterium. RNAcentral's name for it is "partial 16S ribosomal RNA". It matches the Rfam family "Bacterial small subunit ribosomal RNA", at positions 28 to 507 of the family's 1533-position model. The record is from RNAcentral.
GAUGAACGCUGGCGGCGUGCCUAAUACAUGCAAGUCGAGCGAACGGACAAGAAGCUUGCUUCUCUGAUGUUAGCGGCGGACGGGUGAGUAACACGUGGAUAACCUACCUAUAAGACUGGGAUAACUUCGGGAAACCGGAGCUAAUACCGGAUAAUAUUUUGAACCGCAUGGUUCAAAAGUGAAAGACGGUCUUGCUGUCACUUAUAGAUGGAUCCGCGCUGCAUUAGCUAGUUGGUAAGGUAACGGCUUACCAGGGCAACGAUGCAUAGCCGACCUGAGAGGGUGAUCGGCCACACUGGAACUGAGACACGGUCCAGACUCCUACGGGAGGCAGCAGUAGGGAAUCUUCCGCAAUGGGCGAAAGCCUGACGGAGCAACGCCGCGUGAGUGAUGAAGGUCUUCGGAUCGUAAAACUCUGUUAUUAGGGAAGAACAUAUGUGUAAGUAACUGUGCACAUCUUGACGGUACCUAAUCAGAAAGCCACGGCUAACUACGUG